This 664-nucleotide long non-coding RNA is filed under the name Chloebia gouldiae (Gouldian finch). RNAcentral's name for it is "Erythrura gouldiae (Gouldian finch) lncRNA (ENSEGOG00005018734.1)". The record is from RNAcentral. Lineage: Eukaryota; Metazoa; Chordata; Aves; Passeriformes; Passeridae.
UGUGCCCAUUUGUGCCCAUUUUUUCCCAUUUGUGCCCAUUUUGUGCCCAUUUUGUGCCCAUUUUGGUACCCAGGUAGUCGGGCACGUGGUGCAGGUGCGGCUGAGGCUGAUCCCAGUUCCCAUUUUUAUCCCAUUUUCCCCAUUUUUUUCCCCAUUUUUCCCCCAUUUUUUCCCCAUUUGUGCCCAUUUUUUCCCAAAAUUCCCAUUUCUGUGCCCAUUUUUUCCCAAAAUUCCCAUUUCUGUGCCCAUUUUGGUACCCAGGUAGUAGUGCAUGUGGCGCAGGUGCGGCUGAGGCUGAUCCCAGUUCCCGUUUUUAUCCCAAUUUUCCCAUUUUUCCCCCAUUUUUGCCCAAAAUUCCCAUUUCUGUGCCCAUUUUUUCCCAAAAUUCCCAUUUCUGUGCCCAUUUUUUCCCAAAAUUCCCAUUUCUGUGCCCAUUUUGGUACCCAAGUAGUCGGGCACGUGGCGCAGGUGCGGCUGAACUUUGGCCGGGUGCAGGGGCCGGUCGUGCCUCAGGGCCUGCAGGUCCCGGGGGUUGUCCUCAAAAUACACCUGGAAUUAAUUAAUUAACGUUAAUUGCCAUUAAUUAAUCCUUAAUUAAUCCCUCAUUAAUCGAUCAUUAAUUAUUCAUCAAGGGGCAGGGCCCGGUUGUGCCUCAGGGCCUGCA